Scleropages formosus (Asian bonytongue) is the source of this 426-nucleotide long non-coding RNA. RefSeq lists it as uncharacterized. The record is from RefSeq and is a predicted model, not a curated record. NCBI's taxonomy places the organism in Eukaryota, Metazoa, Chordata, Actinopteri, Osteoglossiformes, Osteoglossidae. The transcript is spliced from 3 exons.
CCGUUCGUUUCAGCGCAGAAGAGAAAGGUGGUGAGAUACUGCCAUACCGCCCGAGCCGGACGGCGCCAUCUUCACCCAAAAUCACCGCCAAGCAGCUCGAAAACACUUGGAGAACAGCCACACCGCCGCCGAACGGCUCUUCUCCUCCAGCAGCUCCAAGAGAAAAACACCUCCUGCUGCUGCUGCUGCUGCUGCUGCUACUGCUGCUGCUCCUUCACACCAUCGAGCGGCAGACAAGGGAGUCCCUUCGGCAGCAAGUUACCCUGAUCCUCUUCUCCACACACACAGCCUGGCUGGAGUGAGAAGAGCUCUACUUCUCUACACACAGCAUAAUCCACAGCAUCUCCUCUUCUCUGCACACAACCUGGUUCAGAAGAUGGUCUCCCAGCCCAGAGCACCACAUGUGUUUCAAGGUAGUGGAACCGG